RNAcentral lists this ribosomal RNA (1435 nucleotides) under uncultured marine bacterium. RNAcentral describes it as "bacterial SSU rRNA". It matches the Rfam family "Bacterial small subunit ribosomal RNA". The record is from RNAcentral.
GAGUUUGAUCAUGGCUCAAAACGCACGCUGGCGGCGCGCCUAACACAUGCAAGUCGAACGAAGUAGCAAUACUUAGUGGCAGACGGGUGAGUAACAUGUAGGUAUCUACCCUUUGGCCUGGAAUAACACGAGGAAACUUGUGCUAAUACCGGAUAAGCCUUUACGGAAAAAGCUUUAUGCACCAUUGGAUGAGCCUGCACUUGAUUAGUUUGUUGGUGGGGUAAUGGCCUACCAAGACUGUGAUCAAUAGCUGAUUUGAGAGGAUGAUCAGCCACAUUGGGACUGAGACACGGCCCAAACUCCUACGGGAGGCAGCAGUGGGGAAUCUUGCACAAUGGAGGAAACUCUGAUGCAGCGAUGCCGCGUGAGUGAAGAAGGCCUUUGGGUUGUAAAGCUCUUUCGUCGGGGAAGAAAAUGACUGUACCCGAAUAAGAAGGUCCGGCUAACUUCGUGCCAGCAGCCGCGGUAAUACGAAGGGACCUAGCGUAGUUCGGAAUUACUGGGCUUAAAGAGUUCGUAGGUGGUUGAAAAAGUUGGUGGUGAAAUCCCAAAGCUUAACUCUGGAACUGCCAUCAAAACUUUUCAGCUAGAGUAUGAUAGAGGAAAGCAGAGUUUCUAGUGUAGAGGUGAAAUUCGUAGAUAUUAGAAAGAAUACCAAUUGCGAAGGCAGCUUUCUGGAUCAUUACUGACACUGAGGAACGAAAGCAUGGGUAGCGAAGAGGACUAGAUACCCUCGUAGUCCAUGCCGUAAACGAUGUGUGUUAGACGUUGGAAAUUUAUUUUCAGUGUCGCAGCGAAAGCGAUAAACACACCGCCUGGGGAGUACGACCGCAAGGUUAAAACUCAAAUGAAUUGACGGGGACCCGCACAAGUAGUGGAGCAUGUGGUUUAAUUCGAAGAUACGCGCAGAACCUUACCAACACUUGACAUGUUCGUCGCGACUCUAAGAGAUUAGAGUUUUCGGUUCGGCCGGACGAAACACAGGUGCUGCAUGGCUGUCGUCAGCUCGUGUCGUGAGAUGUUGGGUUAAGUCCCGCAACGAGCGCAACCCUCACUUUUAGUUGCCAUCAUUAAGUUGGGCACUCUGAAAGAACUGCCAGUGAUAAGCUGGAGGAAGGUGGGGAUGACGUCAAGUCCUCAUGGCCCUUACGUGUUGGGCUACACACGUGCUACAAUGGUAUCUACAACAGGAAGCAAGACGGCGACGUCAAGCAAAUCCUUAAAAGAUACCUCAGUUCGGAUUGCACUCUGCAACUCGAGUGCAUGAAGCUGGAAUUACUAGUAAUCGUGGAUCAGCGUGCCACGGUGAAUGCGUUCCCGGGCCUUGUACACACCGCCCGUCACACCAUGGGAGUUGGUUCUACCUUAAGGCAAGGCUUUAAACCCUUGACCACGGUAUAGUCAGCGACUGGGGUGAAGUCGUAACAAGGUAACC